UCCGGUUUGUCACCGGCAGUCUCCUUAGAGUGCCCACCAUGACGUGCUGGUAACUAAGGACAAGGGUUGCGCUCGUUGCGCCACUUAAGGCAACACCUCACGGCACGAGCUGACGACAGCCAUGCACCACCUGUGCAGGCUCCGUAGAGCACCCGCUUUCACGGGUUUCACCCUGCAUGUCAAGCCCAGGUAAGGUUCUUCGCGUCGCAUCGAAUUAAGCCGCAUGCUCCACCGCUUGUGCGGGCCCCCGUCAAUUCAUUUGAGUUUUAACCUUGCGGCCGUACUCCCCCAGGCGGUCGACUUAGCACUUUUGCUUCGACCGUAAUACCGUCAGAGGCACUACGAUCUAGUCGACAUCGUUUACGGCCAGGACUAC
RNAcentral lists this unclassified non-coding RNA (376 nucleotides) under uncultured bacterium. RNAcentral's name for it is "contains 16S-23S intergenic spacer region". The record is from RNAcentral.